RNAcentral lists this ribosomal RNA (325 nucleotides) under uncultured eukaryote. Its description in RNAcentral is "partial 18S ribosomal RNA". It matches the Rfam family "Eukaryotic small subunit ribosomal RNA", at positions 1470 to 1796 of the family's 1831-position model. The record is from RNAcentral.
CCCUUAGAUGUUCUGGGCCGCACGCGCGCUACACUGAUGCAUUCAACGAGCCUAUCCUUGACCGACAGGUCCGGGUAAUCUUUGAAUCUGCAUCGUGACGGGGAUAGAUUAUUGCAAUUAUUAAUCUUCAACGAGGAAUGCCUAGUAGGCGCAAGUCAUCAGCUUGCGUCGAUUACGUCCCUGCCCUUUGUACACACCGCCCGUCGCUCCUACCGAUUGGGUGUGCUGGUGAAAUGUUCGGAUCGGCCGUUUGUCGCGGUUUCCGCGGCUCGUGGCUGAGAAGGUCAUUAAACCCUCCCACCUAGAGGAAGGAGAAGUCGUAACA